GUGCUUGCUUCACCAGCACAUAUACUAAAAUGAGAACGAUACAGAGAUUCGCAUAGCCUCUACGCAAGGAUGACACGCAAAUUCAUGAAGCAUUCCAUAUUUUU
Molecule: small nuclear RNA, 104 nt
Organism: Perognathus longimembris pacificus (Pacific pocket mouse)
Lineage: Eukaryota; Metazoa; Chordata; Mammalia; Rodentia; Heteromyidae
Source: RefSeq, a predicted model, not a curated record